CGAAAGUCAAUAAAAUUAAUAGAGUACGAGACAAGGAAGAUAAUUAGAUUGGGAUGACAAUAAAUUUGCGAAAAGUUGUAGAUAGUAAGCAACUUAUAUGUGGAGUGGUAUAUGUAUCAUGAAUUUAUUACACCGAAUGGAAAGGAUGUUUUGAGGUGGAAUUUUAUGUAUGAUGAUGAAAGUUUAAAGAUGACAUGAGUUAAAAGUAUUAAUUUGGCUUAGUGUGUAUGACAAGAAAAUAGAAGGUAUCUAUAUUUAUGGAACUCAUGAUAUAUGUCUGGAAGGGAAACCCACUAGUUGAGAAUGAUGGAUGUAAUGACUUUGAAUGAAGACAAAUAGCUUUGAUGAGGAAAUUUCUAGUAGUCACAGCACCGUAGCACUGACUGUCCAGCGCUGUAAUUGUCACGAGCCGGAACUCCCAUCGAGCCCGUGACAACCGCCACGACGUCCCGAUAGGCACUCAUUAUCCCGAAUGUCGAUCGAAACCCCGCAAGGCUUAGCAUCAGCUUUUACAUCUCCCCAGUGAGCGAUAGUUAUUAAAUCUCACAUUUCAAAAAAAAUCAUAAGUCAUUUUCAAAUCAAAACAAUAAAAUAUUACUUUCUGGCUCACAUGGGCAUUUUCAUCAUUUUUCUUCGAAAAUACCAAAACUCGCCAAAAACAUGGUGUAAAAGCUAAAUAUAUUCAUACAUAUUUUAAAUUAAAUAACUGAAGAAUAAAAUUACUUUUACAAUAACACGUGGGCCCCCAACUGACUAAGAAGAUGUAGGGCUACGAACCCUUACUUUCUAAGAUGCAACUCCGAGAUUAAUUUUCGUUUUAAUCAACUAUCAACAAAUUGUCCUGAGCCUGAAAAAUAUAUAGAAAGAAAGGGUGAGAUUAUAAAAUCCCAGUGAGUAGACAAACAUCAUCAAAAUAAUCUAAAACCGAGUAAUAGGAGACAAUUAAAAUAAUUCAUCCCAACCCAUAUAAAUAAUUGGAUUUCAUCCAAUUACUCAACAUGGCUUAUGCACUUUUCAAAAACUUGGCCCUUGCCAAAAAUUCAUUCUCGGGGAUACCCCGCGAAGGCAUAUUACCGAGACCGCCAAGGUUGUUUAUUGUCACACACACAAACACAUUUCACCUCUGACAACACAGUUGUUCCUCGACGUUGGCUGAGUCCCAGUUUCACGUGGUGGCCAGCGUGAAGUGUACUCAAAUCCUACAUCGGGAGUUAUUUUACGCGCCUCUCCAAUCGAGGUAAGCUCAAUAAUUGGGAACCGUGCCCCUCUAAUUAGGCUGGCCCACGAAACCCCCGUCACUGUAGUGCUCACAAAUCCUACCUCGGGAGUUAUUCUACGUGCCUCUCCAAUCGAGGUAAGCUCAAUAAUUGGGAACCGUGCCCCUCUAAUUAGGCUGGC
RNAcentral lists this long non-coding RNA (1398 nucleotides) under Theobroma cacao (cacao). Its description in RNAcentral is "long non-coding RNA (TCAC_LNC001302)". Lineage: Eukaryota; Viridiplantae; Streptophyta; Magnoliopsida; Malvales; Malvaceae. The record is from RNAcentral.